UAAGAAAUACUUGAAGCCAGGGAUGCCCA
This 29-nucleotide non-coding RNA is filed under the name Mus musculus (house mouse). Lineage: Eukaryota; Metazoa; Chordata; Mammalia; Rodentia; Muridae. The record is from RNAcentral.